GAUGAACGCUGGCGGCGUGCUUAACACAUGCAAGUCGAACGGGAAACCUUUUAUUGAAGCUUCGGCAGAUUUAGCUGGUUUCUAGUGGCGGACGGGUGAGUAACGCGUGGGUAACCUGCCUUAUACAGGGGGAUAACAAACAGAAAUGGUUGCUAAUACCGCAUAAGCGCACAGGACCGCAUGGUCCGGUGUGAAAAACUCCGGUGGUAUAAGAUGGACCCGCGUUGGAUUAGCUAGUUGGCAGGGUAACGGCCUACCAAGGCGACGAUCCAUAGCCGGCCUGAGAGGGUGAACGGCCACAUUGGGACUGAGACACGGCCCAGACUCCUACGGGAGGCAGCAGUGGGGAAUAUUGCACAAUGGGGGAAACCCUGAUGCAGCGACGCCGCGUGAAGGAAGAAGUAUCUCGGUAUGUAAACUUCUAUCAGCAGGGAAGAUAGUGACGGUACCUGACUAAGAAGCCCCGGCUAACUACGUG
Molecule: ribosomal RNA, 478 nt
Filed under: uncultured bacterium
Lineage: Bacteria
Description: partial 16S ribosomal RNA
Rfam family: Bacterial small subunit ribosomal RNA
Source: RNAcentral